CAAAAAUUAUGGCUGAUUGAAAUCGUUAAUAAUAAAUUCAUGCAUAUUCCAGCGGCCAACCCAGAUCACGCUAUAUUGAAGUGACACACUGAAGUGGUCCGAGACCACAAUUGUCGUCCCUUGAUUUUCGUUGUUCACGAAUAUAGUCCCUAGUGUUAACAGUGGUUACUUGCCAAUAAUUUUAUACCCUUCCAAAUUUAUUUCUCCAUGUUCAAUGCCUCAAAUUGCAAGUAGGGGGAUGAAAUUACACUGUAAAAAAAAUUGGGUCCAGAAUUUUAAAGGAAAGUAGUGAUCGGUCCAGCUGAAAAAGGUUAAAAAUUAGCACUUCGGAAGCUGUCAAAAGAUUUCAAGACACCCUAAACACAAAAUUGUCCAUAUUUUGAGUUUGAGGCGAUGAAGUUUUCUAUAAUUUUGAUAUAAUUUGUCCCAAAAGUAGUACAACACACUGUAGAAUUCAUUGAGAAAGCGCAGGUGGGAUUUUUUUAAUUUUCAUUAAUGUUCUAAAAGAAAUGCACUACGAAUUAAUUGUGUUCUCGGACCUAAGAGGUGAAGUCUGUAAAAAUAGAAUCUGUAAUUUGGCAACUUCCCUAAAUGAUUUGGUGGUGUCAAUUUGUCAAAUAGCAUGAAACUAAAGGAUUUAAACUUUUAUUUUAUAGAAUUUCUGCAAAAAUGACUAAUUUUGGCAUUUUAUGGUCAAAAUAGGCAUUUUAAGGCUUUUUCAAUAUUGAUGCAUACAUGGCAUCCUGACUUUCUAUCUGACAUGUUUUCAUGUGUCAAUAUUGUGUUUCUAGCCUUUAUCUAGUUCUUUUACUUGUUUAUGAACUCAG
Molecule: long non-coding RNA, 827 nt
Filed under: Mytilus galloprovincialis (Mediterranean mussel)
Lineage: Eukaryota; Metazoa; Mollusca; Bivalvia; Mytilida; Mytilidae
Source: RNAcentral